Molecule: ribosomal RNA, 262 nt
Filed under: uncultured bacterium
Lineage: Bacteria
Description: partial 16S ribosomal RNA
Rfam family: Bacterial small subunit ribosomal RNA
Source: RNAcentral
GUUCUACGGGAGGCAGCAGUAGGGAAUCUUCCACAAUGGGCGCAAGCCUGAUGGAGCAACACCGCGUGAGUGAAGAAGGGUUUCGGCUCGUAAAGCUCUGUUGUUGGAGAAGAACGUGCGUGAGAGUAACUGUUCACGCAGUGACGGUAUCUAACCAGAAAGCCACGGCUAACUACGUGCCAGCAGCCGCGGUAAUACGUAGGUGGUAAGCGUUAUCCGGAUUUAUUGGGCGUAAAGGGAACGCAGGCGGUCUUUUAAGUCU